Molecule: long non-coding RNA, 347 nt
Organism: Fundulus heteroclitus (mummichog)
Lineage: Eukaryota; Metazoa; Chordata; Actinopteri; Cyprinodontiformes; Fundulidae
Exons: 2
Source: RefSeq, a predicted model, not a curated record
GGUGUUGGUCUCUCCUGCAAACCUCCUGGUUCCUCCUGAGUCGGUUCCCCUCCCCUGGAACCCUGCCAUCUCCGGAAAGUCACCUGGUUCCUCUCGCUGUCCCGGACAUCUGGAUUCCCCGGUGCUGCUCGGACCCGACCCCACCUUCGACCCACUGGCCUCCCGGGCACCUGUGGGCCACCAUCGUACGGCUAGCGCUGAGUCCUCACCGCUUCCUCCCCGGUCGGCCUUCCGUCCAUCGAGUGUGAUCGACCCGGUUUCCUGCUCCCUGACCGUUACCUGACGCUGCCUCCGCUGAGGCAGAAUCCUCCCGUUACCUGGUUCUUAAAUAAAACCUUUAAACUUCA